UCCCUGGUGGCUCAGAGAGUAAAGUGUCUGCCUGUAAUGCAGGAGACGCAGGUUCAAUCCCUGCGUUGGGAA
RNAcentral lists this transfer RNA (72 nucleotides) under Ovis aries (sheep). It matches the Rfam family "tRNA". From Rfam's summary of the family: Transfer RNA (tRNA) molecules are approximately 80 nucleotides in length. Their secondary structure includes four short double-helical elements and three loops (D, anti-codon, and T loops). Further hydrogen bonds mediate the characteristic L-shaped molecular structure. tRNAs have two regions of fundamental functional importance: the anti-codon, which is responsible for specific mRNA codon recognition, and the 3' end, to which the tRNAs corresponding amino acid is attached (by aminoacyl-tRNA synthetases). tRNAs cope with the degeneracy of the genetic code in two manners: having more than one tRNA (with a specific anti-codon) for a particular amino acid; and 'wobble' base-pairing, i.e. permitting non-standard base-pairing at the 3rd anti-codon position. The record is from Rfam by way of RNAcentral. Lineage: Eukaryota; Metazoa; Chordata; Mammalia; Artiodactyla; Bovidae.